AAUAUCAAAGAGUCCCUCUAAGAACUAUCAGAAAGCUAUGUCAGAAAAGUCUCUUCUGCAAUAUCUAUUGUUUAAAAGUAAGUAAUCCUUUCAAAGUAUUAAUAUAGGAUUUAUUUUAUAUAGUUAAGAUUCUAAUAUUGUUUAAAUACUAUAAUAUUUUACUAGUUAUAUAGUUAAGUCUGCAUUUACUUAAUGAUUCGUUAAAUAUGGUUUUAUAUUUGAUAUUAAAACCUUUAAUAUUGAUCAUUGUGUUUUAAUAAAACAUGCAACAUAUAUUAUUAUAAAGAGAAAAUUACUGAAUAAUUCAUUGUUAAUGUUUAGAGAGUUUAAAGCCCAAGUUAAGUAAGCUAUCAUUAAACAAGUUCAAAAGAUGCUCAGUGGUUUACCACUGAAAGAAGACCUGUGAAAAUGUGUAUUAGGCAGGGGUGCAGAUCAGUUAUUUCCAUUCUUCCAUUCUUGCUGUACUACAUGACAUUUGAAGCACCUGGAUGGGCUAUCAAAUGAGAAAUUAGCAUUAUACAUUGAUAGCAUUGGGAAACAUUGGUCUUUCAUUUCCACUUUUUUCCUCUUUCCCUCCCCCAGCCCUGCAACAUGGUAUUCAUCUGGUUUUAAUGCUGCAUAAAUAUGCAUUGUCUCAUGCCUGUUUGCUUUGGAUGCUGUAUGCCCAGCUGUAACAAGAUGUUGCUUCUUUUGUUAUUUGUAUACAGCCGCUUGCUUUAAACUAGUAGAUGCUGAAAUAGCUUUCCUUGCAUGUCUAAAAUAAAAAUAUUGCAUG
This 775-nucleotide long non-coding RNA is filed under the name Bos taurus (domestic cattle). RNAcentral describes it as "long non-coding RNA NONBTAT027044". Lineage: Eukaryota; Metazoa; Chordata; Mammalia; Artiodactyla; Bovidae. The record is from RNAcentral.